RNAcentral lists this ribosomal RNA (331 nucleotides) under uncultured bacterium. RNAcentral's name for it is "bacterial SSU rRNA". It matches the Rfam family "Bacterial small subunit ribosomal RNA", at positions 568 to 898 of the family's 1533-position model. The record is from RNAcentral.
CGUGUAGGCGGGAAUGCAAGUCAGAUGUGAAAUUCCGGGGCUCAACCCCGGCACUGCAUCUGAAACUGUGUUUCUUGAGUGCUGGAGAGGAAAGCGGAAUUCCUAGUGUAGCGGUGAAAUGCGUAGAUAUUAGGAGGAACACCAGUGGCGAAGGCGGCUUUCUGGACAGUAACUGACGCUGAGGCGCGAAAGCGUGGGAGCAAACAGGAUUAGAUACCCUGGUAGUCCACGCUGUAAACGAUGGAUACUAGGUGUAGGAGGUAUCGACCCCUUCUGUGCCGGAGUUAACACAAUAAGUAUCCCACCUGGGGAGUACGGCCGCAAGGUUGAA